RNAcentral lists this ribosomal RNA (253 nucleotides) under uncultured bacterium. RNAcentral describes it as "partial 16S ribosomal RNA". It matches the Rfam family "Bacterial small subunit ribosomal RNA", at positions 524 to 776 of the family's 1533-position model. The record is from RNAcentral.
GACGUAGGGGGCGAGCGUUGUCCGGAUUCAUUGGGCGUAAAGCGCGCGUAGGCGGCCCGGUAAGUCGGAUGUGAAAUCUCACGGCUCAACCGUGGAACUGCAUUCGAAACUGUCGGGCUAGAGGCAGGUAGGGGAGAUCGGAAUUCCCGGUGUAGCGGUGAAAUGCGCAGAUAUCGGGAGGAACACCGAUGGCGAAGGCAGCCCCCUGGGCUAGCACUGACGCUCAGGCACGAAAGCGUGGGGAGCAAACAGG